CAAGGCGUAGCUAUAACAUAAAGCACUCAGCUUACACCUGAAAGAUACUUGUCACAUCAAGUCGCCUUGA
This 70-nucleotide transfer RNA is filed under the name Elanus caeruleus. Its description in RNAcentral is "tRNA-Val". Lineage: Eukaryota; Metazoa; Chordata; Aves; Accipitriformes; Accipitridae. The record is from RNAcentral.